GAUGAACGCUAGCGGCAGGCCUAACACAUGCAAGUCGAGGGAGAAGCCCUUCGGGGCAGAAACCGGCGCACGGGUGCGUAACGCGUAUGCAACCUACCUUUCACAGGGGGAUAGCCCGAAGAAAUUUGGAUUAAUACCCCAUAAUAUUAUUGGAUGGCAUCAUUUGAUAAUUAAAAUUACGAUGGUGAAAGAUGGGCAUGCGUCCUAUUAGCUAGUUGGAGUGGUAACGGCACCCCAAGGCUACGAUAGGUAGGGGUCCUGAGAGGGAGAUCCCCCACACUGGUACUGAGACAGGGACCAGACUCCUACGGGAGGCAGCAGUGAGGAAUAUUGGUCAAUGGUCGGAAGACUGAACCAGCCAUGCCGCGUGCAGGAAGAAUGCCUUAUGGGUUGUAAACUGCUUUUAUAUGGGAAGAAUAAGGAGUACGUGUACCUUUGAUGGACGGUACC
RNAcentral lists this ribosomal RNA (450 nucleotides) under Capnocytophaga granulosa. Its description in RNAcentral is "bacterial SSU rRNA". It matches the Rfam family "Bacterial small subunit ribosomal RNA", at positions 28 to 479 of the family's 1533-position model. The record is from RNAcentral. Lineage: Bacteria; Pseudomonadati; Bacteroidota; Flavobacteriia; Flavobacteriales; Flavobacteriaceae.